This 253-nucleotide ribosomal RNA is filed under the name uncultured bacterium. RNAcentral describes it as "partial 16S ribosomal RNA". It matches the Rfam family "Bacterial small subunit ribosomal RNA", at positions 524 to 776 of the family's 1533-position model. The record is from RNAcentral.
UACGGAGGGUGCAAGCGUUAAUCGGAAUUACUGGGCGUAAAGCGUGCGCAGGCGGUUUGUUAAGUCCGCUGUGAAAUCCCCGAGCUCAACUUGGGAAUUGCAGUGGAUACUGGCAAGCUGGAGUAUGGUAGAGGAAGGUGGAAUUCCCGGUGUAGCAGUGAAAUGCGUAGAGAUCGGGAGGAACACCAGUGGCGAAGGCGGUUCUCUGGGCCUUACCUGACACUGAGGAGCGAAAGCGUGGGGAGCGAACAGG